AGAACGAACGCUGGCGGCAUGCCUAAUACAUGCAAGUCGAACGAACACUUCGGUGUUAGUGGCGCACGGGUGCGUAACGCGUGGGAAUCUGCCCUUGGGUUCGGAAUAACAGUUGGAAACGACUGCUAAUACCGGAUGAUAUCGAAAGAUCAAAGAUUUAUCGCCCAGGGAUGAGCCCGCGUAGGAUUAGCUAGUUGGUGAGGUAAAGGCUCACCAAGGCGACGAUCCUUAGCUGGUCUGAGAGGAUGAUCAGCCACACUGGGACUGAGACACGGCCCAGACUCCGUACGGGAGGCAGCGAGUAGGGAAUAUUAGGAACAAGUGGGCGCAAGCCUGAUCC
Molecule: ribosomal RNA, 340 nt
Filed under: uncultured soil bacterium
Lineage: Bacteria
Description: bacterial SSU rRNA
Rfam family: Bacterial small subunit ribosomal RNA
Source: RNAcentral